Small nuclear RNA from Loxodonta africana (African savanna elephant), 107 nucleotides. The record is from Ensembl. NCBI's taxonomy places the organism in Eukaryota, Metazoa, Chordata, Mammalia, Proboscidea, Elephantidae.
AUGUUCGCUUCAGCAGCACAUAUACUAAAAUUGGAAUGAUACAGAGAAGAUGAGCAUGGCCCUUGAGCAAGGAUGACAUGCAAAUUCAUGAAGCAUUCCAUAUUUUU